UACAGAGGGGGCAAGCGUUGUCCGGAUUUACUGGGCGUACAGCGCGCGCAGGCGGUUGCGUAUGUGAGCGGUGACAUCCGCGGGCUCAACCCGCGGCGGCCCGCUUACACAGCGCGACUGGAGGCAGGGAGAGGGAUGUGGAAUACCCGGUGGAGCGGUGAAAUGCGUAGAGAUCGGGUGGAACACCAGCGGCGAAGGCGGCAUCCUGGCCCUGAACUGACGCUGAGGCGCGAUAGCGUGGGGAGCAAACGGG
This 253-nucleotide ribosomal RNA is filed under the name uncultured bacterium. RNAcentral describes it as "partial 16S ribosomal RNA". It matches the Rfam family "Bacterial small subunit ribosomal RNA", at positions 524 to 776 of the family's 1533-position model. The record is from RNAcentral.